Molecule: ribosomal RNA, 390 nt
Filed under: uncultured bacterium
Lineage: Bacteria
Description: bacterial SSU rRNA
Rfam family: Bacterial small subunit ribosomal RNA
Source: RNAcentral
GACGAACGCUGGCGGCGUGCUUAACACAUGCAAGUCGAGCGGUAAGGCCCUUUCGGGGGUACGACGAGCGGCGAACGGGUGAGUAACACGUGGGUGACCUGCCUCUAGCUCUGGGAUAAGCCUGGGAAGCUGGGUCUAAUACCGGAUAUGACCUCGCGGUGCAUGUUGCGGGGUGGAAAGCCUUGUGCGGCUAGGGAUGGGCCCGCGGCCUAUCAGCUUGUUGGUGGGGUGAGGCCUACCAAGGCGACGACGGGUAGCCGGCCUGAGAGGGCGACCGGCCACACUGGGACUGAGACACGGCCCAGACUCCUACGGGAGGCAGCAGUGGGGAAUCUUGCGCAAUGGGCGAAAGCCUGACGCAGCGACGCCGCGUGAGGGAUGACGGCCUGG